AAGACUAUACUUUGAGGGAUCAUUUCUAUAGUUUGUUAAAUAGGCUGAGACCUCUUGAUUCUGUGCCCCGGAGGGUUAUUUCUC
This 84-nucleotide small nucleolar RNA is filed under the name Otolemur garnettii (small-eared galago). RNAcentral describes it as "Small nucleolar RNA U3 (ENSOGAG00000022953.1)". Lineage: Eukaryota; Metazoa; Chordata; Mammalia; Primates; Galagidae. The record is from RNAcentral.